GGCUCAGGAUGAACGCUAGCUACAGGCUUAACACAUGCAAGUCGAGGGGAAACGAUAGAGAAAGCUUGCUUUUUUCUAGGCGUCGACCGGCGCACGGGUGAGUAACGCGUAUCCAACCUGCCCACCACUUGGGGAUAACCUUGCGAAAGUAAGACUAAUACCCAAUGACGUCUCUAGAAGACAUCUGAAAGAGAUUAAAGAUUUAUCGGUGAUGGAUGGGGAUGCGUCUGAUUAGCUUGUUGGCGGGGUAACGGCCCACCAAGGCGACGAUCAGUAGGGGUUCUGAGAGGAAGGUCCCCCACAUUGGAACUGAGACACGGUCCAAACUCCUACGGGAGGCAGCAGUGAGGAAUAUUGGUCAAUGGACGAGAGUCUGAACCAGCCAAGUAGCGUGCAGGAUGACGGCCCUAUGGGUUGUAAACUGCUUUUAUAAGGGAAUAAAGUGAGUCUCGUGAGACUUUUUGCAUGUACCUUAUGAAUAAGGACCGGCUAAUUCCGUG
RNAcentral lists this ribosomal RNA (500 nucleotides) under uncultured bacterium. Its description in RNAcentral is "bacterial SSU rRNA". It matches the Rfam family "Bacterial small subunit ribosomal RNA", at positions 21 to 507 of the family's 1533-position model. The record is from RNAcentral.